UGGGGGAUUUUGCACAAUGGGCGCAAGCCUGAUGCAGCGACGCCGCGUGAGGGAUGAAGGCCUUCGGGUUGUAAACCUCUUUCGCUGGGUUGAAAGGCCAUGCUUUGGGUGUGGUUGAUUUGAACUGGUAAAGAAGUACCGGCUAACUACGUGCCAGCAGCCGCGGUAAUACGUAGGGUACUAGCGUUGUCCGGAUUUAUUGGGCGUAAAGGGCUUGUAGGUGGUUUGUCGCGUCUGUCGCGAAAUCCUGUGGCUUAACCAUGGGCUUGCGGUGGGUACGGGCAGGCUUGAGUGCGGUAGGGGAGACUGGAAUUCCUGGUGUAGCGGUGGAAUGCGCAGAUAUCAGGAGGAACACCGGUGGCGAAGGCGGGUCUCUGGGCCGUUACUGACACUGAGGAGCGAAAGCGUGGGGAGCGAACAGG
Molecule: ribosomal RNA, 422 nt
Filed under: Fusobacteriota bacterium
Lineage: Bacteria; Fusobacteriati; Fusobacteriota
Description: Fusobacteria bacterium partial 16S ribosomal RNA
Rfam family: Bacterial small subunit ribosomal RNA
Source: RNAcentral